RNAcentral lists this ribosomal RNA (908 nucleotides) under uncultured Bacteroidota bacterium. RNAcentral describes it as "bacterial SSU rRNA". It matches the Rfam family "Bacterial small subunit ribosomal RNA", at positions 18 to 916 of the family's 1533-position model. The record is from RNAcentral. Lineage: Bacteria; Pseudomonadati; Bacteroidota.
UAUGGCUCAGGAUGAACACUAGCUACAGGCUUAACACAUGCAAGUCGAGGGGAAACGAUAUUGGAAGCUUGCUUCCGAUAGGCGUCGACCGGCGCACGGGUGAGUAACGCGUAUCCAACCUGCCCACCACUUGGGGAUAACCUUGCGAAAGUAAGACUAAUACCCAAUGAUAUCUCUAGAAGACAUCUGAAAGGGAUUAAAGAUUUAUCGGUGAUGGAUGGGGAUGCGUCUGAUUAGCUUGUUGGCGGGGUAACGGCCCACCAAGGCGACGAUCAGUAGGGGUUCUGAGUGGGAGGUCCCCCACAUUGGAACUGAGACACGGUCCAAACUCCUACGGGAGGCAGCAGUGAGGAAUAUUGGUCAAUGGGCGAGAGCCUGAACCAGCCAAGUAGCGUGCAGGAUGACGGCCCUAUGGGUUGUAAACUGCUUUUAUAAGGGAAUAAAGUGAGCCUCGUGAGGCUUUUUGCAUGUACCUUAUGAAUAAGGACCGGCUAAUUCCGUGCCAGCAGCCGCGGUAAUACGGAAGGUCCGGGCGUUAUCCGGAUUUAUUGGGUUUAAAGGGAGCGUAGGCCGGAGAUUAAGCGUGUUGUGAAAUGUAGAUGCUCAACGUCUGCACUGCAGCGCGAACUGGUUUCCUUGAGUACGCACAAAGUGGGCGGAAUUCGUGGUGUAGCGGUGAAAUGCUUAGAUAUCACGAAGAACUCCGAUUGCGAAGGCAGCUCACUGGAGCGCAACUGACGCUGAAGCUCGAAAGUGCGGGUAUCGAACAGGAUUAGAUACCCUGGUAGUCCGCACGGUAAACGAUGGAUGCCCGCUGUUGGUCUGAAUAGGUCAGCGGCCAAGCGAAAGCAUUAAGCAUCCCACCUGGGGAGUACGCCGGCAACGGUGCAACUCAAAGGAAUUGACGG